GAUGAAGAACGUAGCGAAAUGCGAUACUUGGUGUGAAUUGCAGAAUCCCGUGAACCAUCGAGUCUUUGAACGCAAGUUGCGCCCGAAGCCAUUAGGCCGAGGGCACGCCUGCCUGGGUGUCACACGUCGUUGCCCCCCCAUCUACUCCUUCGGGAUUGCGGGGGGCGGAUGAUGGCCUCCCGUGCGCCUCGUCGCGCGGUUGGCAUAAAUGCCAAGUCCUCGGCGACGCACGCCACGACAAUCGGUGGUUGCGAAACCUCGGUUGCCCGUCGUGGGCGGUCGUCGCGCAUCGAGGGCUCGAAAAAAUUGCCGGGCUCCGGCUCGGCUUUCAACGCGACCCCAGGUCAGGCGGGGUUACCCGCUGAAUUUAAGCAUAUCAAUAAGCGGAGGA
RNAcentral lists this unclassified non-coding RNA (391 nucleotides) under soil metagenome. RNAcentral's name for it is "partial contains 5.8S ribosomal RNA, internal transcribed spacer 2, and large subunit ribosomal RNA". The stretch from base 1 to 122 matches the Rfam family "5.8S ribosomal RNA", at positions 35 to 154 of the family's 154-position model. The record is from RNAcentral.